GAGCAACCAACUGUCCUAAAGAAUGGUUUUCAAUAAUUAUAGUCUGGUUUCUCUCCCUCUUAUUUAGGAGAUUUAAUCAAGCGUGACAUUCACAAAAUGAUAAGAGGAUGGUGAACGCAGCCAUCAAUGUCCUCACUACAUUGCUUCCCAGCGUAACCUGCAGAAUUCUGGUGGCUUCAUGUUAAUAGUGCAGGGGCCUGUAGGUGGUGAGGACUUGUUUGCCAGCAGAGGCAAAGAGGCUCAAGCAAGAAUUUUGGACUGCAAAAAUUUCAGUUCAGCCUCCACAGGAUCAAUACACUUGUGGUGAUAUGAAGGUUUCAAGUUGUUUCAUAACUAAUUGACAAGGGAUUGGACAUGAGGGAAUCUUUCUAACCAUCUUGUUUUGAGAUGCAGCAUAGAGAAGGCUCUUUGAGCCUCCUCAGCAGCAGCCACUGAUUUAAACCCGGCCUAAUCAUGGGACAAUUUACAAUGGCCAAUUAACCUACUGAACGGAUUGUGGGAAGAAACUGGAGCACCCAUGCAUUCCACAGAUCGACAUAUAAACUCCUUACAGAGGAUGCCAGGAAUGAACCCCAAAGUCCGACACCCUGAGCUGUAAUAGCAUCAUGCGGAUCGCUACGCUACCCUGGUUACUGUAGAAUCACUGAGUCUUUAUGGUUCCUGUCAUGUCGGCUUGAAAUACUUUUAAUUUGCCUUACGUGGCAGCUCUCUGAUGAAGAUUCUUCUGCAGUGAAGGUUGAAAAUGGUGACUUUGCUUGCCUUCACUCAGGCAAUGUAGCUAACACGUUGGCCACAAGCCACUGAUCUCAAAUUUUCAACCUUUUCCCACAUAGCCAUCAGGAAAAGCCACAGGAAGUCCCUCAGAAUCCAGGUGGUGAGUACCAGGGAU
Molecule: long non-coding RNA, 889 nt
Organism: Hypanus sabinus (Atlantic stingray)
Lineage: Eukaryota; Metazoa; Chordata; Chondrichthyes; Myliobatiformes; Dasyatidae
Exons: 3
Source: RefSeq, a predicted model, not a curated record